CUACGGGAGGCAGCAGUGGGGAAUAUUGGACAAUGGGGGGAACCCUGAUCCAGCCAUGCCGCGUGUGUGAAGAAGGCCUUAUGGUUGUAAAGCUCUUUAAGCGAGGAGGAGGCUACUGAGACUAAUACUCUUGGAUAGUGACGUACUCGCAGAAAAGCCCGCUCCC
Molecule: ribosomal RNA, 166 nt
Filed under: uncultured Acinetobacter sp.
Lineage: Bacteria; Pseudomonadati; Pseudomonadota; Gammaproteobacteria; Moraxellales; Moraxellaceae
Description: partial 16S ribosomal RNA
Rfam family: Bacterial small subunit ribosomal RNA
Source: RNAcentral